UACGGAGGGGGCUAGCGUUGUUCGGAAUUACUGGGCGUAAAGCGCACGUAGGCGGCGCGUCGAGUCGGGGGUGAAAGGCCUGGGCUCAACCCGGGAACGGCCUUCGAUACUGACGUGCUGGAGUCCGGGAGGGGGUGGCGGAAUUCCCAGUGUAGAGGUGAAAUUCGUAGAUAUUGGGAAGAACACCGGUGGCGAAGGCGGCCACCUGGCCCGGGACUGACGCUGAGGUGCGAAAGCGUGGGGAG
Molecule: ribosomal RNA, 245 nt
Filed under: uncultured Rhodospirillaceae bacterium
Lineage: Bacteria; Pseudomonadati; Pseudomonadota; Alphaproteobacteria; Rhodospirillales; Rhodospirillaceae
Description: partial 16S ribosomal RNA
Rfam family: Bacterial small subunit ribosomal RNA
Source: RNAcentral